ACUCCUACGGGAGGCAGCAGUGGGGGAAUAUUGCACAAUGGGGGAAACCCUGAUGCAGCCAUGCCGCGUGUGUGAAGAAGGCCUCGGUUGUAAAGACACUUCAGUAGGGAGGAAGGUAGUGUAGUUAACACCUGCAUUAUUUGACGUUACCUACAGAAGAAGCACCGGCUAACUACCGUGCCAGCAGCCGCGGUAAUACGGAGGGGUGCGAGCGUUAAUCGGAAUUACUGGGCGUAAAGCGCAUGCAGGCGGCCUGUUAAGUCAGAUGUGAAAGCCCGGGGGCUUAACCUACGGAAUUGCAUUUGAAACUGGCAGGCUAGAGUCUUGUAGAGGGGGUAGAAUUUCAGGUGUAGCGGUGAAAUGCGUAGAGAUCUGAAGGAAUACCAGUGGCGAAGGCCGGCCCCCU
This 406-nucleotide ribosomal RNA is filed under the name uncultured bacterium. RNAcentral's name for it is "bacterial SSU rRNA". It matches the Rfam family "Bacterial small subunit ribosomal RNA", at positions 335 to 731 of the family's 1533-position model. The record is from RNAcentral.